Non-coding RNA from Leopardus geoffroyi (Geoffroy's cat), 773 nucleotides. NCBI's taxonomy places the organism in Eukaryota, Metazoa, Chordata, Mammalia, Carnivora, Felidae. The record is from the annotation of a RefSeq genome assembly.
GACGAUGCUGCACAAACUAGAGAUCUUGUUGCUCAACAUCAUCUGCUCACGCCCUCCCCCCUGCAGCUGGCUGAGCUCUUUGCAGACAGAGACAGGGACAAGAAUCAUCCAUCAGAAAGCUCCAGGCUCAUCUCAGCAGCUUUUGCAUUUUUAUCUCAGCAAGGAACCUGUCCAACUUUACUUUCUCCACCCUUCUUAUGUCCGAGGGCUUGGUUUCCUCAGCCAGUUUCCUGUCUGCUCAGGGGAGAUUUUCCUGAGAAGAGCCCACUGCCUUUCUACUGCUCGGCCAUGUUCCUGUUGCUUAUCUCAACACUGGGGAUAUUUGCCCUGCGAGACACCGGAGCCCAGUCAGUGACACAACCUGAUGUCCAUGUCACUGUCUCUGAAGGAGCCCCUCUGGAGCUGAGGUGCAACUAUUCCUAUAGUGGAACUCCUUAUCUCUUCUGGUACAUGCAGCACCCCAACCAAGGAAUCCAGUUUCUACUGAAGUACUUUUCAGGGGACACCCUGGUUAAAGGCAUCAAAGGUUUUGAGGCUGGAUUUAAGAACCAUGAAACCACCUUCCACCUGAGGAAAUCCCGAGGCCUUGGCAGCGAUGCGGCCAAGUACUUCUGUGCUGUGCGUGACACAGUGUCUGGGACUGCAGGGGGAGCUGAACACAAACCACCAUGGUAGGGGAGUUUUUGGAGACUGACGGUCUCUUCCUGUGGUAUUAUCAGAGAUCUCUUGCUGUAUGAUGCCAAAUGAGGCAAAUAGAGCUGAGCAGACUCAGA